GACGAACGCUGGCGGCGUGCUUAACACAUGCAGGUCGAACGGAAAGGCCCUGCUUUUGUGGGGUGCUCGAGUGGCGAACGGGUGAGUAACACGUGAGUAACCUGCUCUUGACUUUGGGGUAACUUCAGGAAACUGGGGCUAAUACCGGAUAGGAGCUCCUGCUGCAUGGUGGGGGUUGGAAAGUUUCGGCUGUUGGGGAUGGACUCGCGGCUUAUCAGCUUGUUGGUGGGGUAGGGGCUUACCAAGGCUUUGACGGGUAGCCGGCCUGGGAGGGUGACCGGCCACAUGGGGACUGAGAGACGGCCCAGACUGCUACGGUAGGCAGCAGUGGCGAAUAUUGCACAAUGGGCGGACGCCUGAUGCAGCAACGCUGCGUGCGGGAUGACGGCCUUCGGGUUGAAAACCGCUUUCGCCUGUGACGAAGCGUUAGUGACGGUAAUGGGUAAAUAAGCACCGGCUAACUACGUG
This 468-nucleotide ribosomal RNA is filed under the name uncultured bacterium. Its description in RNAcentral is "partial 16S ribosomal RNA". It matches the Rfam family "Bacterial small subunit ribosomal RNA", at positions 28 to 507 of the family's 1533-position model. The record is from RNAcentral.